This 221-nucleotide long non-coding RNA is filed under the name Aquilegia coerulea. RNAcentral's name for it is "long non-coding RNA (ACOE_LNC000672)". The record is from RNAcentral. Lineage: Eukaryota; Viridiplantae; Streptophyta; Magnoliopsida; Ranunculales; Ranunculaceae.
UAGACCAAAGCAUGGUUCAAUUUCUUGUCUUCCACAGUAGGUGAACCGAUUCAAACAUGUCUGGUUUUAUGAUCAACUCAAUAUAAUACAUGGUCUUAUACCCUGGAGAGUUGUGGGUCUGUUACAGGAACUGGAGAAGAUAUUGCAACAGAUGUAAUACAUGGUCUUAUAACAUUCAACAAAAAAAAAAGGAGUAUAUCAUUGUCAUACAUGACAGAAUG